Molecule: transfer RNA, 88 nt
Filed under: Lentisphaeria bacterium
Lineage: Bacteria; Pseudomonadati; Lentisphaerota; Lentisphaeria
Description: tRNA-Cys
Rfam family: tRNA
About the family: Transfer RNA (tRNA) molecules are approximately 80 nucleotides in length. Their secondary structure includes four short double-helical elements and three loops (D, anti-codon, and T loops).
Source: RNAcentral
CUCGUGAUGGCUGAGCGGUCGAAGGCAGCGGACUGCAAAUCCGUUCGGAGUAAUCCGCACAUCGGUUCGAAUCCGGUUCACGAGUCCA